RNAcentral lists this ribosomal RNA (253 nucleotides) under uncultured bacterium. RNAcentral describes it as "partial 16S ribosomal RNA". It matches the Rfam family "Bacterial small subunit ribosomal RNA", at positions 524 to 776 of the family's 1533-position model. The record is from RNAcentral.
UACGGAGGAGGCAAGCGUUAUCCGGAAUUACUGGGCGUAAAGCGCGCGUAGGUGGUUUGUUAAGUUGGAUGUGAAAGCCCCGGGCUCAACCUGGGAACUGCAUUCAAAACUGACAAGCUAGAGUAUGGUAGAGGGUGGUGGAAUUUCCUGUGUAGCGGUGAAAUGCGUAGAUAUAGGAAGGAACACCAGUGGCGAAGGCGACCACCUGGACUGAUACUGACACUGAGGUGCGAAAGCGUGGGGAGCAAACAGG